RNAcentral lists this ribosomal RNA (259 nucleotides) under uncultured bacterium. RNAcentral describes it as "partial 16S ribosomal RNA". It matches the Rfam family "Bacterial small subunit ribosomal RNA", at positions 1225 to 1500 of the family's 1533-position model. The record is from RNAcentral.
CUACAAUGGCAAGUACAAAGAGAAGCAAGACCGUGAGGUGGAGCAAAACUCAAAAACUUGUCUCAGUUCGGAUUGUAGGCUGAAACUCGCCUACAUGAAGCUGGAGUUGCUAGUAAUCGCGAAUCAGCAUGUCGCGGUGAAUACGUUCCCGGGUCUUGUACACACCGCCCGUCACACCAUGGGAGUCACCAACACCCGAAGUCCGCCUUGGCGGCCUAAGGUGGGGGAGAUGAUUGGGGUUAAGUCGUAACAAGGUAAC